Molecule: ribosomal RNA, 550 nt
Filed under: uncultured fungus
Lineage: Eukaryota; Fungi
Description: eukaryotic LSU rRNA
Rfam family: 5.8S ribosomal RNA (bases 181-334)
Source: RNAcentral
CGGACUCCGUAGUGACCUGCGGAGGGACAUUACCGAGAGAGGGCGCCUCGCGCGCCCGACCUCCCAACCCUUUGUCGACCGUACUGCGUUGCCUCUGGGUGCCGGCGCCCGCGUCGCCCCAAGAGGACCCAACCGAAACCCUGCGUCUUUGCGUCGGAGUCACUUUGAUAAAUCAAUCAAAACUUUCAACAACGGAUCUCUUGGUUCUGGCAUCGAUGAAGAACGCAGCGAAAUGCGAUAAGUAAUGUGAAUUGCAGAAUUCAGUGAAUCAUCGAAUCUUUGAACGCACAUUGCGCCCCCUGGCAUUCCGGGGGGCAUGCCUGUUCGAGCGUCAUUACACCAAUCAAGCCUGGCUUGGUAUUGGGCGACGGGGCCGUCACACGCCGCGCGCCCCGAAGACUCCCCCGGCGGGACGGACUGUAUCUCAGCGUUGUGCAAAUGUCGCUGGCGAUUUACGGGACGGCCGUGCCGUAAAACCCCCCUUUCUCAAAGGUUGACCUCGGAUCAGGUAGGGAUACCCGCUGAACUUAAGCAUAUCAAAAGGGGCGGA